RNAcentral lists this ribosomal RNA (436 nucleotides) under uncultured bacterium. RNAcentral's name for it is "bacterial SSU rRNA". It matches the Rfam family "Bacterial small subunit ribosomal RNA", at positions 917 to 1350 of the family's 1533-position model. The record is from RNAcentral.
GGACCCGCACAAGUAGUGGAGCAUGUGGUUUAAUUCGAAGAUACGCGCAGAACCUUACCAACACUUGACAUGUUCGUCGCGACUUUAAGAGAUUAAAGUUUUCGGUUCGGCCGGACGAAACACAGGUGCUGCAUGGCUGUCGUCAGCUCGUGUCGUGAGAUGUUGGGUUAAGUCCCGCAACGAGCGCAACCCUCACUUUUAGUUGCCAUCAUUUAGUUGGGCACUCUGAAAGAACUGCCAGUGAUAAGCUGGAGGAAGGUGGGGAUGACGUCAAGUCCUCAUGGCCCUUACGUGUUGGGCUACACACGUGCUACAAUGGCAUUUACAAUAGGAAGCAAGAUGGCGACGUCAAAGCAAAUCCUAAAAAGAUGCCUCAGUUCGGAUUGUACUCUGCAACUCGAGUACAUGAAGCUGGAAUUACUAGUAAUCGCGGAUC